ACAACCCGCGUAGGCCCCCCUCUUCAAGGCACUGCUAGCAGAUGGAGAGGACAUGCAUCGCUAUGGCUCUGUGUCCUCUUGAUAGUCUUUCUUAAUUCUUUUCAUUGCCGUUGCUUUUCGUGCCCCUACUGCUUCCCUCCGUGGCAUCUCCACACAUCCUUUUCCUGUACGAGAUCAUAUCGAUAACCGCAGCCGAAGUCGAGUGCGACGCAUCCACGCAUGAAGGCAUGACAACGCUGGUACCUAGUGCAGGCAACGAUGCACAGCCACCCACGUGGAAGACAUCCCAUGGAAGAAGUAACUCACGCCCUCUCUGUGUUUGUGCUGGAUUGCUGUCGACUCUGCGCUUUCUCUUGUCCUAUUAAAGCUUCUUUCCGAAUCACCACCACGACCACUUUUUGCUUCACUUUGGCGCAAGGUAGACUACGCACGCACUCUCACCCUCGGCAGUCAUGUGUGCGGCCCCUUUAUUAUUAGCAUCCCCUUCGCCGUUCUUGUUGCGGAAGGGGCCGCUGAUGGCGGUUGUCCUCUUGGCAUGUCAGAAACCCCCCCUCCCACGCGGGUGCUGGCACACAAUCUCUAUCGCAAUGCGCUUGCUGAGCUGCAAGUCGAUGCCUCCGCCGCGACAGACACUCUUCAGGGCCUCCUCCCUCUUUUCCAGCUUACACGAACACUACACCUGAGCGCUUGGUCGACUGUGCCCUGAGAAGCGCGUGCACUCGAACCCACUCAAACGGACUUGAAGAGGAAGCCUGUGUGCGUGCCUGUGUGCCUUGACAAACAAAGACACUCCACAAUAGCAGCAGGCAGUCGCGGGUGCGCGCAGGUUCGUCGGCAUAAUGGAACUUGCUCCGCCUUUGUCGAGUCAACUAUCCCAUUCGUGGGACACGCGCGAGGUACUCCGGCGCAUGAUAUCUGGCUUGUGUGGAUGCACGAUCUCGGAGCAACCAACGAAGUACACGUCAUCUGCGAACAGAAUAACAAAACCGGGCGGUGGUGGUGAUGGUGGCGACGUGCUGUUUACGGUUCGAGCGCUUUGGUCGCUCAUUAUGGUCUCGAUAGUGAGGUCCGGUGUCCCACAUACGCACCAGCUCUUUGGCAUGCGUACCUGGACACUCAUUUCGCAUGUGUGCGUCGCUGACGCUCAUAUUCUUUUUCCUCUUGCGCAUGCUGCUUUUGAUUUGCCCAUUUUACGCCGCGCAUUGCGAUCGCGAAGCAACAU
Molecule: unclassified non-coding RNA, 1222 nt
Filed under: Leishmania donovani
Lineage: Eukaryota; Euglenozoa; Kinetoplastea; Trypanosomatida; Trypanosomatidae
Description: gene:unknown
Source: RNAcentral